Molecule: ribosomal RNA, 497 nt
Filed under: uncultured bacterium
Lineage: Bacteria
Description: partial 16S ribosomal RNA
Rfam family: Bacterial small subunit ribosomal RNA
Source: RNAcentral
GAUGAACGCUGGCGGCGUGCCUAAUACAUGCAAGUCGAGCGAACAGACGAGGAGCUUGCUCCUCUUACGUUAGCGGCGGACGGGUGAGUAACACGUGGAUAACCUACCUAUAAGACUGGGAUAACUUCGGGAAACCGGAGCUAAUACCGGAUAAUAUAUUGAACCGCAUGGUUCAAUAGUGAAAGACGGUUUUGCUGUCACUUAUAGAUGGAUCCGCGCCGCAUUAGCUAGUUGGUAAGGUAACGGCUUACCAAGGCAACGAUGCGUAGCCGACCUGAGAGGGUGAUCGGCCACACUGGAACUGAGACACGGUCCAGACUCCUACGGGAGGCAACAGUAGGGAAUCUUCCGCAAUGGGCGAAAGCCUGACGGAGCAACGCCGCGUGAGUGAUGAAGGUCUUCGGAUCGUAAAACUCUGUUAUUAGGGAAGAACAAAUGUGUAAGUAACUAUGCACGUCUUGACGGUACCUACUCAGAAAGCCACGGCUAACUACGUG